AGGCUCUGGAGGUUUCUGUAGUUUCACCAACUCCCUGGCACUCUUGGCUUCCCGAUUCCGAUGUACACCACGAAGAGCAUUUGCAGCAAAUCUGGAGGCCAAGAAGGUGGCACCAAGGCUGUACGAACUGCCACUGGCAUUGCCACGAGUUCCUUCUGACUCCUCAGGUUCGUCCUUCUGACUAAGCUCCAUAGUUUUCCUUUUGGAAUAGCGACGCCAGGCUGCUUGAAUAAAGCAUGCAGCCCAAGUCCUCCACUGUUGGGAGUAAAAGCGAAAGGUGUGCUGAACCUGUCUACUGUGCAGGCGCCUAAACUGACUGGCAACAAACUUUAACUCUUCAGCAGUUAAGGCAAAAGCUUCAACUUCUGUUAAAGCUUUAACUGUUCGAGUAGAAGAUGGGAGAUUAGAGCCAGAUUUGGGAUCCAGUGCCCAGGUCAAAAGCUCCUCCCCACAGAAGUCGGCCUCUUUUAAAAAACCACGAUUGAAGAAUCCACUCCUCCCACCAUCUGUAGUAACACUCUCAAGGCGACCCCGUAUGAUGAAGAGCAUCUCAUCAACUGGAUCUCCUUCACGAACAAUCAUACCCUUCUCACUAGAGCCAGACAAAGGUGACGCUUAAUGUCUCUUCGAAGAUCCUUUGGCAAACUCUGAACCAAACUUUCUUCAUCUACACCACGUGUUGCCAACCACUUGUAUUGAUCAUAUCGUCUCACACGCUCUCUAAGCUCUUGUGGGAGCAAGCGAUGAUGCAUCCACUGUUCUGAAUCACGUCUUUUGACUCUCAUUUCCUCAAGUCUAAUUGUAAGAGACUGAAGAUAUGUCUGUAAUCAUAUAAAGAAAUCACAAUAUCAGUCACAAACAAUCCGCUCUUCAUGCUUUAGUAAUCAUAAACCUGGAAAGCUAUUUACAAAGCCAGUCUGAUAAGGAGAAACAAGUCAAACAACAGAAAACAAACAAACAGCCACUGUUCUCUCCUUGGUAUCUGUGUGCAUGUGUGAAUGUGUAUUUGGUCUGACUACUUUCAUGCA
This is a long non-coding RNA of Glycine soja, 1028 nucleotides long. RefSeq lists it as uncharacterized. Lineage: Eukaryota; Viridiplantae; Streptophyta; Magnoliopsida; Fabales; Fabaceae. The record is from RefSeq and is a predicted model, not a curated record. The transcript is spliced from 2 exons.